ACUCGGGGAUAGCCUUUCGAAAGAAAGAUUAAUACCCGAUGGGAUAAUUAUUCCGCAUGGUUUGAUUAUUAAAGGAUUCCGGUAAAGGAUGGGGAUGCGUUCCAUUAGGUUGUUGGUGAGGUAACGGCCCACCAAGCCUUCGAUGGAUAGGGGUUCUGAGAGGAAGGUCCCCCACAUUGGAACUGAGACACGGUCCAAACUCCUACGGGAGGCAGCAGUGAGGAAUAUUGGUCAAUGGGCGCUAGCCUGAACCAGCCAAGUAGCGUGAAGGAUGACUGCCCUAUGGGUUGUAAACUUCUUUUAUAUUAGAAUAAAGUACAGUAUGUAUACUGUUUUGUAUGUAUAAUAUGAAUAAGGAUCGGCUAACUCCGUGCCAGCAGCCGCGGUAAUACGGAGGAUCCGAGCGUUAUCCGGAUUUAUUGGGUUUAAAGGGAGCGUAGGUGGACUGGUAAGUCAGUUGUGAAAGUUUGCGGCUCAACCGUAAAAUUGCAGUUGAUACUGUCAGUCUUGAGUACAGUAGAGGUGGGCGGAAUUCGUGGUGUAGCGGUGAAAUGCUUAGAUAUCACGAAGAACUCCGAUUGCGAAGGCAGCUCACUGGACUGCAACUGACACUGAUGCUCGAAAGUGUGGGUAUCAAACAGGAUUAGAUACCCUGGUAGUCCACACAGUAAACGAUGAAUACUCGCUGUUUGCGAUAUACAGUAAGCGGCCAAG
RNAcentral lists this ribosomal RNA (714 nucleotides) under uncultured bacterium. Its description in RNAcentral is "bacterial SSU rRNA". It matches the Rfam family "Bacterial small subunit ribosomal RNA", at positions 135 to 851 of the family's 1533-position model. The record is from RNAcentral.